AGAGAUGUGGCUUGAAUAGUGCUGGUCUACUCCAAGACAACAGAGUGGAGGGAUGGUGGCAAUCUGGUGAGAUUAUGCCCCACCUCAAAGGAAAACCAUGGGAAAAAUAAUGUGAAAAACUUCAGUGCUCAACCCUCAAACUCAUUCCUCCAGAAGUAGCAGACCAACUUGCCCAGGUUGGUGGGAGAAAGGAAAACCUUGGCCAGAUAUGGACAGCACUGUCCUCAUCCCUCCCUUACCCCAGAACCCACCCAACCCACCCUGGUCCACCCCACCCUGGUCCACCCCACCCCGCACACACUCAAAGAAGAGCCUGGGGCCUCAUUGUAACACUCAUUUUUAUAUAAAUAUCCGCAAGUCAUGUUACAGAAUAAGCCCCACCGGGGAAAAAAGUCAACGUUAUGUAUUUGUUAGAUUGACCCCUGCCUUCUAGGUUGGGCCCCAGCCUGGAGGCGCCUGCUGCUUUGGGAAGGCUGGGGCUGCUGCCGUGAGGCUGCCGAAGAAGCUGCCUGUGUCGCCCACCCCUGGGCCGACCCCCUUCUUUGGUGUGUGGUACAUGGUGACCUUCUCUGGCCACCCUAAGCCUGGGGCAGGGUUUUGGAGAACAGGGUUCAGGGAAGCAGGGCCCAGGAGUCCUGGGGGCACUUGGAAAUGGGGUGAGGGGGACUGAGCCAUUAAGAAGUGGUGGAGUCUGAAACUUAAGAGGCUGAGCCUUUGGGGGUGGGGGCAGAGUGAAUGGGAACAGUAGGGGGGCCCAGGGCUGUCAACCAAGCAAGAAACUUCUGCCCUCCCUACAGCGCAGGUCCCUAGGUCCUGCCCCAUGUUGGUCAUCUCCUGCUGGCCCCACCUUUCCAGGGAGAAGCCAGCCUGACCCCUCCCGGCACUUCUGCCUGCAGUCCCCCCUCCCCCACAGAGAGGCCAGAGGAUAGGAACACAGCACCAGUCUGAGGAUUUAAUUAACCAGGAAGGGGACUGUUGGGAGGGGCACCCCUGUAAAAAUGUACAAAAGGUCUGGGGGCUAUGUGAAAGGGGUGAUAAAUAUGUACAUGGAACCCCCCUUCCUUGAGCCCCUCCUCCCCGAGCCCUCGGAGAGCAUGAGGACUUGGGUAUAGGUGAAGGGGAGGGGGCACUUUGGCCUCUGGCUUAGUGAGCCCUUGGGGAGGCAGGCCCAGGGCCUAGAGGCCCUUAGAGGGGCAAAGGUGCACCUCAUGAGGCCUCAUGGCCCCUGAGAUGAGCCACACUCCCAUGCACAUGCCCCCUCCCUCUCUAGAGGCUGUGACCUCUGCUCUCCCGGUGACCUCACACUCCACGUGAUGCUUGGUCUCGUGGGGGUUGAGGCUUCUGUUCCCAGGUUCCAUGACCUCAGAGGUGGCUGGUGAGGUUAUGACCUUUGCCCUCCAGCCCUGGCUUAAAACCUCAGCCCUAGGACCUGGUUGAAGGGGAGAUGGAGCUUUGCCCCAGCCCCUCCCCUCCCCUCACC
Cebus imitator (Panamanian white-faced capuchin) is the source of this 1480-nucleotide long non-coding RNA. RefSeq lists it as uncharacterized. NCBI's taxonomy places the organism in Eukaryota, Metazoa, Chordata, Mammalia, Primates, Cebidae. The transcript is spliced from 2 exons. The record is from RefSeq and is a predicted model, not a curated record.